GAUGAACGCUGGCGGCGUGCCUAAUACAUGCAAGUCGAGCGAACGGACGAGAAGCUUGCUUCUCUGAUGUUAGCGGCGGACGGGUGAGUAACACGUGGAUAACCUACCUAUAAGACUGGGAUAACUUCGGGAAACCGGAGCUAAUACCGGAUAAUAUUUUGAACCGCAUGGUUCAAAAGUGAAAGACGGUCUUGCUGUCACUUAUAGAUGGAUCCGCGCUGCAUUAGCUAGUUGGUAAGGUAACGGCUUACAAAGGCAACGAUGCAUAGCCGACCUGAGAGGGUGAUCGGCCACACUGGAACUGAGACACGGUCCAGACUCCUACGGGAGGCAGCAGUAGGGAAUCUUCCGCAAAGGGCGAAAGCCUGACGGAGCAACGCCGCGUGAGUGAUGAAGGUCUUCGGAUCGUAAAACUCUGUUAUUAGGGAAGAACAUAUGUGUAAGUAACUGUGCACAUCUUGACGGUACCUAAUCAGAAAGCCACGGCUAACUACGUG
RNAcentral lists this ribosomal RNA (497 nucleotides) under uncultured bacterium. RNAcentral's name for it is "partial 16S ribosomal RNA". It matches the Rfam family "Bacterial small subunit ribosomal RNA", at positions 28 to 507 of the family's 1533-position model. The record is from RNAcentral.